RNAcentral lists this ribosomal RNA (1524 nucleotides) under Triticum aestivum (bread wheat). Its description in RNAcentral is "partial small subunit ribosomal RNA". The record is from RNAcentral. Lineage: Eukaryota; Viridiplantae; Streptophyta; Magnoliopsida; Poales; Poaceae.
AUGGCCGCGAGGUUGGUGGUGGUGCUGCUGCUGCUCGCGCUGGUGGCGGCGUGCCAUGGCGUGAGUGCUGCGGCCGCGGGGGCGUCGCCGCGCCGGCCCAACUGGCUGGGCGGGCUGAGCCGAGCGUCCUUCCCCAAGGGCUUCGUCUUCGGGACGGCCACGUCGGCGUACCAGGUGGAGGGCAUGGCCAACGCCGGCGGCCGCGGGCCUUCCAUCUGGGACGCCUUCGCCCACGUCCCAGGAAACAUUGCCGGAAAUCAAAAUGCAGACGUUACUACGGAUCAGUAUCAUCGCUACAAGGAAGAUGUUAAUCUCAUGAAAGGAUUGAAUUUCGAUGCCUACCGGUUUUCUAUCUCAUGGUCCAGAAUCUUCCCAGAUGGUGACGGAAAAGUUAACCAAGAAGGCGUCGCGUAUUACAAUAAUCUGAUAAACUACCUUCUUCAGAAAGGCAUUACUCCUUAUAUCAAUCUUUACCACUACGAUCUCCCUCUGGCGCUUGAGAAGAAGUAUGGAGGCUGGUUAAAUGCAAAGACGGUGGGACUGUUUGCAGACUACGCUGAUUUUUGUUUUAAGACCUUUGGCGAUCGUGUAAAGCACUGGUUUACAUUCAACGAACCAAGGAUAGUUGCGCUUCUUGGUUACGACGUAGGGUCGAAUCCUCCUCAGAGGUGCAGCAAAUGCGCUGCCGGUGGGAACUCGGCAACAGAACCUUACAUCGUUGCUCACAAUUUUCUCUUAGCACAUGGUUAUGCAGUUGCAAGAUACCGGACUAAGUAUCAGGCAGCUCAGAAGGGGAAGGUUGGAAUAGUUCUGGACUUCAACUGGUACGAGGCUCUUACCAACUCAACUGAAGACCAAGCAGCAGCUCAAAGAGCCAGGGACUUCCAUGUUGGCUGGUUUGUCGACCCGCUAAUAAACGGGCAUUACCCACAGAUAAUGCAAGACCUUGUGAAAGAGAGGCUGCCCAGGUUCACUCCCAGUGAAGCUAAAUUGCUCAAGGGCUCAGCAGACUACAUCGGGAUCAACCAGUACACGGCUAGCCUCAUGAAGGGCCAGAAAUUGCUGCAGCAGACGCCGACCAGCUACUCGGCCGAUUGGCAGGUCACAUAUGCCUUUGAGAGAAAUGGCAAACCGAUUGGACCAAAGGCGAAUUCUAACUGGCUUUACAUCGUCCCGUCGGGGAUGUACGGAUGCGUGCACUACCUCAGCCAGAAGUAUGGAAACCCACCUAUUGUCAUAACUGAAAACGGAAUGGAUGAGCCGGGGGGCCUCACCCGGGAGCAGUACUUGCGGGACGCGACGAGGGUCCGGUUCUACCGGAGCUACCUCGGCGAGCUGAAGAAGGCCAUCGAUGGCGGCGCCAACGUCCUCGGCUACUUCGCGUGGUCUCUCCUCGACAACUUCGAGUGGAGCUCCGGCUACUCCUCCAAGUUCGGCAUCGUGUACGUCGACUUCAGCAGCCCCACCCUGGACCGGCACCCCAAGGCGUCGGCCUACUGGUUCAGAGACCUUCUGCAGCACUGA